Molecule: small nucleolar RNA, 82 nt
Filed under: Ophiocordyceps sinensis
Lineage: Eukaryota; Fungi; Ascomycota; Sordariomycetes; Hypocreales; Ophiocordycipitaceae
Also listed under: 1 other name
Description: A. fumigatus snoRNA Afu_300
Rfam family: A. fumigatus snoRNA Afu_300
Source: Rfam by way of RNAcentral
GUUCGUGAUGAUCAUUUUAACAACUACUGGAAAUUACCGGCUGAGAUUUCUCAUUGACGAUAUCAAAUGGCUUUGACUGAUU